RNAcentral lists this non-coding RNA (102 nucleotides) under Pontibacillus halophilus. RNAcentral's name for it is "Guanine sequence". It matches the Rfam family "Purine riboswitch aptamer". From Rfam's summary of the family: Riboswitches are metabolite binding domains within certain messenger RNAs that serve as precision sensors for their corresponding targets. Allosteric rearrangement of mRNA structure is mediated by ligand binding, and this results in modulation of gene expression. The record is from RNAcentral. RNAcentral also lists the same sequence under 1 other name. Lineage: Bacteria; Bacillati; Bacillota; Bacilli; Caryophanales; Bacillaceae.
ACUUAAUAAAACGAACACCGUCGUAUAAUAUUGAGGAUAUGGCUCAAGAGUUUCUACCAGACUACCGUAAAUGGUCUGACUACGAGGGGUGAAGGGUGGAGG